This 497-nucleotide ribosomal RNA is filed under the name uncultured bacterium. RNAcentral describes it as "partial 16S ribosomal RNA". It matches the Rfam family "Bacterial small subunit ribosomal RNA", at positions 28 to 507 of the family's 1533-position model. The record is from RNAcentral.
GAUGAACGCUGGCGGCGUGCCUAAUACAUGCAAGUCGAGCGAACAGACGAGGAGCUUGCUCCUCUGACGUUAGCGGCGGACGGGUGAGUAACACGUGGAUAACCUACCUAUAAGACUGGGAUAACUUCGGGAAACCGGAGCUACUACCGGAUAAUAUAUUGAACCGCAUGGUUCAAUAGUGAAAGACGGUUUUGCUGUCACUUAUAGAUGGAUCCGCUCCGCAUUAGCUAGUUGGUAAGGUAACGGCUUACCAAGGCGACGAUGCGUAGCCGACCUGAGAGGGUGAUCGGCAACACUGGAACUGAGACACGGUCCAGACUCCUACGGGAGGCAGCAGUAGGGAAUCCUCCGCAAUGGGCGAAAGCCUGACGGAGCAACGCCGCGUGAGUGAUGAAGGUCUUCGGAUCGUAAAACUCUGUUAUUAGGGAAGAACAAAUGUGUAAGUAACUAUGCACGUCUUGACGGUACCUAAUCAGAAAGCCACGGCUAACUACGUG